This 120-nucleotide small nucleolar RNA is filed under the name Triticum aestivum (bread wheat). RNAcentral's name for it is "Small nucleolar RNA SNORD14". It matches the Rfam family "Small nucleolar RNA SNORD14". Rfam says of the family: U14 small nucleolar RNA (U14 snoRNA) is required for early cleavages of eukaryotic precursor rRNAs. In yeasts, this molecule possess a stem-loop region (known as the Y-domain) which is essential for function. A similar structure, but with a different consensus sequence, is found in plants, but is absent in vertebrates. RNAcentral also lists the same sequence under 2 other names. The record is from Rfam by way of RNAcentral. Lineage: Eukaryota; Viridiplantae; Streptophyta; Magnoliopsida; Poales; Poaceae.
CGGUGAUGAUGAUAAAUUUAAGGUUGUUUCUCAAAACAUUCGCAGAUGCCGCCUAAGAGCUUUCGCCAAGCCAGGCUUGAGAGCUAAUGCUGCUAAUUCCUUCCUUGGAUGUCUGAGCCU